UACGUAGGUGGCGAGCGUUGUCCGGAUUUACUGGGCGUAAAGAGCGCGCAGGCGGUCGUGCAAGUCGCGUGUGAAAGCCCCCGGCUCAACCGGGGGAGGCCGUCGGGGACCUUCGGGCUGGAGGCCGGCAGGGGGGAGUGGAAUUCCCGGUGUAGUGGUGGAAUUCGUAGAUAUUCGGAAGAACACCAGUGGCGAAGGCGACUCACUGGACAUGUAUUGACGCUGAGGUGCGAAAGCGUGGGGAGCAAACAGG
RNAcentral lists this ribosomal RNA (253 nucleotides) under uncultured bacterium. Its description in RNAcentral is "partial 16S ribosomal RNA". It matches the Rfam family "Bacterial small subunit ribosomal RNA", at positions 524 to 776 of the family's 1533-position model. The record is from RNAcentral.